GCUUAACACAUGCAAGUCGAGGGGCAUCAGGAACAUUGCUUGCUUUCUUUGCUGGCGACCGGCGCACGGGUGAGUAACACGUAUCCAACCUGCCCUUUACUCGGGGAUAGCCUUUCGAAAGAAAGAUUAAUACCCGAUAGCAUAAUGAUUCCGCAUGGUUUCAUUAUUAAAGGAUUCCGGUAAAGGAUGGGGGUGCGUUCCAUUAGGUUGUUGGUGGGGUAACGGCCCACCAAGCCUUCGAUGGAUAGGGGUUCUGAGAGGAAGGUCCCCCACAUUGGAACUGAGACACGGUCCAAACUCCUACGGGAGGCAGCAGUGAGGAAUAUUGGUCAAUGGGCGCUAGCCUGAACCAGCCAAGUAGCGUGAAGGAUGAAGGCUCUAUGGGUCGUAAACUUCUUUUAUAUAAGAAUAAAGUGCAGUAUGUAUACUGUUUUGUAUGUAUUAUAUGAAUAAGGAUCGGCUAACUCCGUGCCAGCAGCCGCGGUAAUACGGAGGAUCCGAGCGUUAUCCGGAUUUAUUGGGUUUAAAGGGAGCGUAGGUGGACUGGUAAGUCAGUUGUGAAAGUUUGCGGCUCAACCGUAAAAUUGCAGUUGAUACUGUCAGUCUUGAGUACAGUAGAGGUGGGCGGAAUUCGUGGUGUAGCGGUGAAAUGCUUAGAUAUCACGAAGAACUCCGAUUGCGAAGGCAGCUCACUGGACUGCAACUGACACUGAUGCUCGAAAGUGUGGGUAUCAAACAGGAUUAGAUACCCUGGUAGUCCACACAGUAAACGAUGAAUACUCGCUGUUUGCGAUAUACAGUAAGCGGCCAAGCGAAAGCAUUAAGUAUUCCACCUGGGGAGUACGCCGGCAACGGUGAAACUCAAAGGAAUUGACGGGGGCCCGCACAAGCGGAGGAACAUGUGGUUUAAUUCGAUGAUACGCGAGGAACCUUACCCGGGCUUAAAUUGCCGUGGAAUGAUGUGGAAACAUGUCAGUGAGCAAUCACCGCUGUGAAGGUGCUGCAUGGUUGUCGUCAGCUCGUGCCGUGAGGUGUCGGCUUAAGUGCCAUAACGAGCGCAACCCUUAUCUUUAGUUACUAACAGGUCAUGCUGAGGACUCUAGAGAGACUGCCGUCGUAAGAUGUGAGGAAGGUGGGGAUGACGUCAAAUCAGCACGGCCCUUACGUCCGGGGCUACACACGUGUUACAAUGGGGGGUACAGAAGGCAGCUAGCGGGUGACCGUAUGCUAAUCCCAAAAGCCUCUCUCAGUUCGGAUCGAAGUCUGCAACCCGACUUCGUGAAGCUGGAUUCGCUAGUAAUCGCGCAUCAGCCACGGCGCGGUGAAUACGUUCCCGGGCCUUGUACACACCGCCCGUCAAGCCAUGGGAGCCGGGGGUACCUGAAGUACGUAACCGCAAGGAUCGUCCUAGGGUAAAACUGGUGACUGGGG
Molecule: ribosomal RNA, 1431 nt
Filed under: uncultured organism
Description: 16S ribosomal RNA
Rfam family: Bacterial small subunit ribosomal RNA
Source: RNAcentral